This 489-nucleotide ribosomal RNA is filed under the name uncultured bacterium. Its description in RNAcentral is "bacterial SSU rRNA". It matches the Rfam family "Bacterial small subunit ribosomal RNA", at positions 20 to 507 of the family's 1533-position model. The record is from RNAcentral.
UGGCUCAGGACGAACGCUGGCGGCGUGCCUAACACAUGCAGGUCGAACGGAAUCCAUCGACUGAUCCCUUCGGGGUGACGUUGAGAAGAUUUAGUGGCGGACGGGUGAGUAACACGUGAGUAACCUGCCUCUCAGUGGGGAAUAACACAAGGAAACUUGUGCUAAUACCGCAUGAUGCAUUUUAACCGCAUGGUUUUAAUGCCAAAGCUUUAUGCGCUGAGAGAUGGGCUCGCGUCCGAUUAGAUAGUUGGUGAGGUAACGGCUCACCAAGUCGACGAUCGGUAGCCGGACUGAGAGGUUGAACGGCCACAUUGGGACUGAGACACGGCCCAGACUCCUACGGGAGGCAGCAGUGGGGAAUAUUGCGCAAUGGGGGAAACCCUGACGCAGCAACGCCGCGUGAAGGAAGAAGGUCUUCGGAUUGUAAACUUUUGUCUUCAGGGACGAAUUCUGACGGUACCUGAGGAGGAAGCUCCGGCUAACUACGUG